AGUGAACGCUGGCGGUAGGCCUAACACAUGCGAGUCGAACGGCAGCACAGUAAGAGCUUGCUCUUACGGGUGGCGAGUGGCGGACGGGUGAGGAAUACAUCGGAAUCUACUUUUCGUGGGGGAUAACGUAGGGAAACUUACGCUAAUACCGCAUACGACCUACGGGUGAAAGCAGGGGAUCUUCGGACCUUGCGCGAUUGAAUGAGCCGAUGUCGGAUUAGCUAGUUGGCGGGGUAAAGGCCCACCAAGGCGACGAUCCGUAGCUGGUCUGAGAGGAUGAUCAGCCACACUGGAACUGAGACACGGUCCAGACUCCUACGGGAGGCAGCAGUGGGGAAUAUUGGACAAUGGGCGCAAGCCUGAUCCAGCCAUACCGCGUGGGUGAAGAAGGCCUUCGGGUUGUAAAGCCCUUUUGUUGGGAAAGAAAAGCAGCAGGUUAAUACCCCGCUGUUCUGACGGUACCCAAAGAAUAAGCACCGGCUAACUUCGUG
RNAcentral lists this ribosomal RNA (491 nucleotides) under uncultured bacterium. Its description in RNAcentral is "partial 16S ribosomal RNA". It matches the Rfam family "Bacterial small subunit ribosomal RNA", at positions 29 to 507 of the family's 1533-position model. The record is from RNAcentral.